Long non-coding RNA from Ruditapes philippinarum (Manila clam), 515 nucleotides. RefSeq lists it as uncharacterized. The transcript is spliced from 3 exons. Lineage: Eukaryota; Metazoa; Mollusca; Bivalvia; Venerida; Veneridae. The record is from RefSeq and is a predicted model, not a curated record.
UAUAUGAAGGCAAUUUACCUGUGUCAAAUUUAUAUACGAGGUUACACAUAAAUGGACUAUGCUUGCACGCAAUUUCAAUACUGUUUUAGGUAUAUUUCAGGAACACAGCGAUGACGUAUAGAUUGACAGUUUUGGCAAUUUGUGUUUUAAAAAGUCAUGAGUCCAUUUCAACGCCGGAUCUAUCUCCAGAGCAUGUUGAUGUGUUUGAAAAUGAAAGUAUAAAGUUAACAUGCAGUGUAUCACUUCCUGGCACAACAUUUCGAUGGUCUAACACUCCUAAUGUGUGGAACAGAAUAGAAUGUUACAAUAACAAAAGUUAUCAGUUAUUUACAGGCUUUCUCUCAGAAGGCAAACAUUUAUACGCAUUUUAUUGUUUUGGAAAUGGAAGUUUUACUUUGGAAAUAUUACGUGUUGAGGCUAGUCAAAACGGUCAAGUAUGGCAAUGUGGAAGCUUAUUUGACAGAAGUAAUGGAGUGACAAUCAAUGUAAAAGGUAAUAAUUUCUUUUGCCAUUUU